Non-coding RNA from Algibacter lectus, 344 nucleotides. It matches the Rfam family "Bacterial RNase P class A". Rfam says of the family: Ribonuclease P (RNase P) is a ubiquitous endoribonuclease, found in archaea, bacteria and eukarya as well as chloroplasts and mitochondria. Its best characterised activity is the generation of mature 5'-ends of tRNAs by cleaving the 5'-leader elements of precursor-tRNAs. The record is from Rfam. NCBI's taxonomy places the organism in Bacteria, Pseudomonadati, Bacteroidota, Flavobacteriia, Flavobacteriales, Flavobacteriaceae.
CUAGUAGAUCGCCUUAUCGCUGUUUUAAUUUAUUUUAAAAUGGAGGAAAGUCCGGACACCGUAGUUCAACAUAGUGGCUAACGGCCACCAGCCGAGAGGUUAGGACCAGUGCAACAGAAAGAAUGUACAGAUUAUGCUGUAGUGAAACCAGGUAAACUCUAUGUGGUGCAAUGUUAUGUAAACCAGUGCUUGAGGGUUGAACGCCCGAUGCUGGAGGGUAAGCAGCUAAAGUGUUUUGGUAACAAAACACUCAGAUAAAUGAUAAGGGCUUUUUAAGUUUAUUUUGGGUUUUACCUAAGGUGGUUUAAAGGGUACAGAAUUCGGCUUAUAGAUUUACUUACCUA